GAUGAACGCUGGCGGCGUGCCUAAUACAUGCAAGUCGAGCGAACGGACGAGAAGCUUGCUUUUCUGAUGUUAGCGGCGGACGGGUGAGUAACACGUGGAUAACCUACCUAUAAGACUGGGAUAACUUCGGGAAACCGGAGCUAAUACCGGAUAAUAUUUUGAACCGCAUGGUUCAAAAGUGAAAGACGGUCUUGCUGUCACUUAUAGAUGGAUCCGCGCUGCAUUAGCUAGUUGGUAAGGUAACGGCUUACCAAGGCAACGAUGCAUAGCCGACCUGAGAGGGUGAUCGGCCACACUGGAACUGAGACACGGGCCAGACUCCUACGGGAGGAAGCAGUAGGGAAUCUUCCGCAAUGGGCGAAAGCCUGACGGAGCAACGCCGCGUGAGUGAUGAAGGUCUUCGGAUCGUAAAACUCUGUUAUUAGGGAAGAACAUAUGUGUAAGUAACUGUGCACAUCUUGACGGUACCUAAUCAGAAAGCCACGGCUAACUACGUG
This 497-nucleotide ribosomal RNA is filed under the name uncultured bacterium. RNAcentral describes it as "partial 16S ribosomal RNA". It matches the Rfam family "Bacterial small subunit ribosomal RNA", at positions 28 to 507 of the family's 1533-position model. The record is from RNAcentral.